UAGGGAAUCUUCGGCAAUGGACGGAAGUCUGACCGAGCAACGCCGCGUGAGUGAAGAAGGUUUUCGGAUCGUAAAGCUCUGUUGUAAGAGAAGAACGAGUGUGAGAGUGGAAAGUUCACACUGUGACGGUAUCUUACCAGAAAGGGACGGCUAACUACGUGCCAGCAGCCGCGGUAAUACGUAGGUCCCGAGCGUUGUCCGGAUUUAUUGGGCGUAAAGCGAGCGCAGGCGGUUAGAUAAGUCUGAAGUUAAAGGCUGUGGCUUAACCAUAGUACGCUUUGGAAACUGUUUAACUUGAGUGCAAGAGGGGAGAGUGGAAUUCCAUGUGUAGCGGUGAAAUGCGUAGAUAUAUGGAGGAACACCGGUGGCGAAAGCGGCUCUCUGGCUUGUAACUGACGCUGAGGCUCGAAAGCGUGGGGAGCAAACAGGAUUAGAUACCCUGGUAGUCCACGCCGUAACGAUGAGUGCUAGGUGUUAGACCCUUUCCGGGGUUUAGUGCCGUAGCUAACGCAUUAAGCACUCCGCCUGGGGGGUACGACCGCAAGGUU
This 548-nucleotide ribosomal RNA is filed under the name uncultured bacterium. Its description in RNAcentral is "bacterial SSU rRNA". It matches the Rfam family "Bacterial small subunit ribosomal RNA", at positions 355 to 895 of the family's 1533-position model. The record is from RNAcentral.